GGCAGGAGCAAACAGGAGACGGUGAGUGCCCACACACAGUGCAGGUCUCCAUGUUUUUCUCCUGGCUGACCACCCUCUGGACUGGCUGAUACACCUCAUUCAGGUCCCUGACUACCCAGCCACGGGCUGUAGCCUGUGAAUUGGUAUAGACUUGCAACUUUGACCAUUCCUACUUCCAGGCAACAUGGAUAAUCAGGUAUAGAGAGAGAGAAAAAAAGCCUUUUCUAGCUCAGUAGCUGCUCACCAGGUACCACGGGAUCUAUUAAUUUGCUGACGUAACAAAACCACAUAUGGAACAGCAAUUGCAACUGGAGUCAGCGCCUGACUAUGUGGAUGAUAAUCCAGUGUCAUUCUCCGAGAUCCAUCUGUUGUCUGCAUAGGAUGUUGCUGAGCCAGCCAAGCAGAUGAGAAUCCAGGUUCUGAGGCGGCCUGGAAGGCCAGCUCCACCCUCCUCCUCAAGCAUCUUUCCAGCCCCCUACUUUUGCAGCCAUGAGAGGAAGACAGUGAAUUCCAGGAACUGUCUCCUCCCAACUCUCCUGGUCCAGGAGUGAGGCCUGCAUGCCAGUUGCCUGUGUGAUGAGACAGAACUCAGCUCUUCUGCUUACUGGCUGUGUGUCCCUGGAUAAGUGAGUGUACCGAGCUCUGGGCCAGGAACUCUCAGACCUAUUGAUGAUAACAAGAUCAAGUUCAGUGCCAUUGGCUGUCUGGUGAGACCUUCUUGGCUUUCCUUGUCUGUCCUCCUGGGAUUAUAUUUCUUUAUUUAUUCAUUUUGAUAGUAGCAUCAUAUAAA
This is a long non-coding RNA of Manis javanica (Malayan pangolin), 790 nucleotides long. RefSeq lists it as uncharacterized. Lineage: Eukaryota; Metazoa; Chordata; Mammalia; Pholidota; Manidae. The record is from RefSeq and is a predicted model, not a curated record.